Molecule: long non-coding RNA, 2793 nt
Organism: Sapajus apella (tufted capuchin)
Lineage: Eukaryota; Metazoa; Chordata; Mammalia; Primates; Cebidae
Exons: 2
Source: RefSeq, a predicted model, not a curated record
CGGGCACGGGGCGGGAAGAGGGGUCCGUCAGUGGCGUUUUUAGCUUGCACCCCGCCACGCAGAUUCUCCCUGGCCGGAGAGGAGGAGGGUGGAGGGAAGGCGGAGAAGCCUCGAUUUCUCUGCACGUUCGGGAACGCCUUCUCCCCCUUCGUUCUCCCAUUCCCUGUCUUUUCCCGCUCCUCUGCGGUCUCACCUGUUUAUUUCCGUCAGCUGGAGCUCGCGGUUUUUUAUAUGGGCAUGAGAGUCUGUUUCUUUUAUUAGAAACAUUAUUGGGGAGAGGGGUGCGUUGCUGUAAUAUGUGCCGGUCCAGGUCGGUUUUCAGGCAGGGGGAGGGGACUUGGCGGAGACGCCGGCUUCUGGCCGCAGCUGACCCCAGGGCUUCUCCCUGCCUUCCCGUACGAGGAAUUCUUUCCCUCACUCUGCUACCCGCACACCAGCUGCCACCUUCCUGGAGAAAGACCACACCUGUGCUUAUACCCGCUUUGGAGGAGAGGUGAGCUGAGAAACCAGGGAAUCCCCUGCUCUCCAGGAUUCUUGGUUAUUCCCCUCCCCAAUCUCAGCAUUGGCCAAAAAUUGCUUUCACCUGCUGAUUUCAUUCGACAUGCCUGUCUCCCACCACCCUUUCCCCCGGCAAGUUGUGGUCUGAAAAUGUUUUGGGAUUUUCUCUUCCCUUUGGAUAUGGCCCCCACCAAUCAGCAAAUAGCUCCUGGGCUUAGGUUGAGAGAUAGAGAGGGGGAGGGGGGGAGAGAGAGAGAGAACCCCCUUCGCCUGGUGCGCUGUUUUUUAUUCCCCUCUGGGUCUUCUAAUGGAAUCUGCUCUCCUCCCAUAGCCCCCUUUAUUCUCCCCCUAAGCUUAACCCAGAACCAGGCCUAAACAGCCUGUCUCUGGCGUUCUUUCUCCAGGCCCCACCCUGGCCCCUUUUGCUUUUCCAGAGCCAAAAAACGCCUCCCAAGCAGAAGACACACCCAGCCCCAAGUCUAACCAUUCCAAAAGGGAGGAGAACACAGUGGAAGAACAGGGACCCAAGGGUCUCCUUCUGUCUUGAAUAUUCCAAGCGUUUCCCUCUUCAAGGCUCCUAGCUAUGUAAUCCCUUUUUUAUUAUUACCAAUUGUCUCUCCCAUUCUCUUUGCCCCUUGUCCUAUGAUAGAUAUUUAGGGAGAGGGGUGGAGAAGGAGGUUGUCACCCUCUCUUCCUUGCAGUGAGAUAUUUUUCUUUUUCUCAGACUUUUCAUUUAUUAGAUGUUUAGCAUGUAAAAUAUGUAAAUCUGUUUGCAGGCUUAUUUGAACUUGUUUUCUUGCUGGCUGAGGAAUAGCUGAUACUCUAAAGGGAAGAAGGGGGAAAAAGAUCAAAAGUAAUACUCUAAGUUUUCCCCAUUUGAGCAUCCCCAGAGUUGCCAGAGAAGACCCUCCUGAAAAAACCAAAAGUCUCCCUUCCAUGACAUCACCACCUAAGCCCUUCCAACUUUAGCUUCAGAACAGGAAGAAGGCUCAAAAUAGAAUUACCUUAGGAAUCCAGCUCCUUGAAAAGAUCAACUUUUAAAUCAGCUGCAGGAGGAACACAGUGAACUUUGACAUGGGUAGUGAGCAGGGAGAGAAGGCUGUAUGGUGUGCAUAAUUGGUUCCUUUGGGGGAGGGUUGUGGGAUACUUCCCAUGUAUUUCAGAAAAGCUUUUCUCUAGAUAGAGUUAGGUACCUAGACCUAUGAAUAUUAAAUAGGUUGGUUCGAGAUUCAUUUAUUGAAUUAUUCAUAAGUUUUGGUAUGUCAACAAUAACAAGCACUUAUCAGAAUAUGAAUUAAAGAGGGGCUCCUCUGCAGAGUCUGCUCUAGACAGAGAAGGUUGUUUCAGGAAGAUAGGAGGGAGCACUUAAGGAAGACAGAGAAGCUGAGGAUGCAGUGACAGCUGCUGUAUCCUCACCACUUGCUGGGCUCUGAUCCUUCUUUUUCUUCUGCCUCCUCACGUCUCCAACCAGAAGGGGAUCUUUUAGUCCUUCACUUCAUGGGGAGCCUUCAGAGAGAGUAAUGCAGCCACCAGAAAGGAUGCCGUUUACCGACACAGUGACUGACAGGCUGCCCUGGCUCAGUUAUCACAGUGCUGAUGCUGUCCAUUCUAAAGGUACAGUACUGUGAUAACUGAAGGAUGGCAGCCAUCUUGCCUUCCAUCAGAGGAGCCUCAUCGUGCCCAGGAAGAAAGAAGGCGAAAGAGGAAUGUGAAACAGGUGGCCGGGACCCAGAAACCCUCUUACCCUGCGCCUCUGUCGUAUUUUUUCCUGGGGCAUAGGGAGAGUUAUUCUGCUUCUCUUUGCCUUGUUUUGUAAAAUGGGAUAGUUGUUGGAACAGCAGUGUUGUGCUGAGUGAACAUAUAUUAAGCUGUUUGAAAUCUUUAGGAGACUGAAAAUAGAUAAGUAUUAGUUAAUAUUUCUGGAAUGAUAUUCAGAGAACUUUGUAUCAUUUUUGUAAGUGUGAAAGGUAACCUAAUUAGAACAGCUUGGCUCUUGUCGGCACACUUCUAGAUUUCAAAAUCAGAUUCUACUUACAGAGAGGAAAAAAAGAGUCCAAUAUGUUGAAUGGUAUUGAAAGUAUUGCAUAAAUAAAAGUCCAUCUUUGUAGACUAGCUUAUUGAAGUGAGGAAAGAAAAAAGCAUAUCUUUGUCUUGAAGGAGUAGAUAGUGACAUGUCAUGUUUAUUUCAGGAUAUUUAGGAUCUGGCCUAAUUCAAAAGAAUAUUUACGGAAUGCCCAUGUUAUUGCUGCUGCUGUAACCUUUACAAAAAAAUAAAAUGUAAAUUAUUUUAUUUCU